AUGGCUCCCAAGAAGAAGGCGGCCACGGCGGUCGGUUCGUCGGGAGCCAAGCGGCCCGUACCGGUGCGGGCGAGUAGCGGGCCGGUCGCGGACAGGACCCGAGGCGCAGCCCGCGAGCCCCAACAUCGCUCUAGCAGUCAGAGCCUGGCGAGCUGCGUCGUUCGUACGCAAGAUGGCGGGCCGCACACUGCAAAAUCCAGAGACGGAGCUGGGCCCCCUGCAGGCGGCGCGGGGCCCUCCGGGGUCACCGCCGUGCCACCUACGGGCGGCGCGAAGACCUCCAGGAUUCACACCCCGGUCCCCACAGCAUGCUCUUCCCAUGGUGUGCGCGACGAGCAGCGUCACCACGCCGGUGGCCCUGGGCACCACCGUGGGAAGAGCCCUGUGCAUCAUCUGCGAGACAAAGGAGGCCAGCAUGCCCGCCGAAGUGCUGGCGGAAAUGGCACGCAGCCGCUGGGCCGUGAUAGAGCUCCUUCUAACGUGGUUAGAAGUCGAAGCGCGCCACGGUCCACGCAGCUCUCGCCACCACCCACGCCAGCAGAGGCUUUGGCACGCGCGCAGCUGCUCCUCGACUUCCCUCCUGCUGCGGAGAAGCUCGAUGAGUGGAGAGCCACCAUCCAGAUCCUCGUCGCCGUCGCCAAUAAAUAUGAUCCGCGACCGGCGGGGCCCUCGGGCCGGCGCUCCGUCGAGCCGCCACAUGCCAGCGGUGGGAGGACCGGGGGAGCUGCAGCCACAGUACACUCUCCUCCCCCGCGCGAGUUGCUGCUGGUGCCGGUCCAUCGUGACGACGCACGUGAUAACAUUUCCAUAGCGUCGUCCGACCCACGGACCCACCGCGACCAGCUCCAAGUUCUUCAAGAACGAGCCCAUGAAGAUGCUCGAACCACCAUCGAGCGCCGGCACGAUACACGCCACUAG
This 918-nucleotide ribosomal RNA is filed under the name Triticum aestivum (bread wheat). Its description in RNAcentral is "partial small subunit ribosomal RNA". Lineage: Eukaryota; Viridiplantae; Streptophyta; Magnoliopsida; Poales; Poaceae. The record is from RNAcentral.